GCGUGCCUAAUACAUGCAAGUCGAGCGAACAGAUAAGGAGCUUGCUCCUUUGACGUUAGCGGCGGACGGGUGAGUAACACGUGGAUAACCUACCUAUAAGACUGGUAUAACUUCGGGAAACAGGAGCUAAUACCGGAUAACAUAUUGAACCGCAUGGUUCAAUAGUGAAAGGCGGCUUUGCUGUCACUUAUAGAUGGAUCCGCGCCGUAUUAGCUAGUUGGUAAGGUAACGGCUUACCAAGGCAACGAUACGUAGCCGACCUGAGAGGGUGAUCGGCCACACUGGAACUGAGACACGGUCCAGACUCCUACGGGAGGCAGCAGUAGGGAAUCUUCCGCAAUGGGCGAAAGCCUGACGGAGCAACGCCGCGUGAGUGAUGAAGGUCUUCGGAUCGUAAAACUCUGUUAUCAGGGAAGAACAAAUGUGUAAGUAACUGUGCACAUCUUGACGGUACCUGAUCAGAAAGCCACGGCUAACUACGUGCCAGCAGCCGCGGUAAUACGUAGGUGGCAAGCGUUAUCCGGAAUUAUUGGGCGUAAAGCGCGCGUAGGCGGUUUUUUAAGUCUGAUGUGAAAGCCCACGGCUCCACCGUGGAGGGUCAUUGGAAACUGGAAAAC
RNAcentral lists this ribosomal RNA (617 nucleotides) under uncultured bacterium. RNAcentral describes it as "bacterial SSU rRNA". It matches the Rfam family "Bacterial small subunit ribosomal RNA", at positions 42 to 641 of the family's 1533-position model. The record is from RNAcentral.